CAAUCCCAGAUAGUUGUUUAUAAAUUUUAGUUUUGUAAUCUAAAGAUUGGAUUGUUUCCAUUUGGGAA
Molecule: transfer RNA, 68 nt
Filed under: Pedicinus badii
Lineage: Eukaryota; Metazoa; Arthropoda; Insecta; Psocodea; Pedicinidae
Description: tRNA-Thr
Source: RNAcentral